CAACCGAGACAUCUUAUCCGGGAGUGCCCGACGUGGACGUCGUCUGCGCCGACGGCGGCAUCAGCACCAUCUACCCCGAGACAGCUUGCGGGGUUACCACCAGCGAUGUCGGCUGGGCGCGCGUCAGCACCGCGUCAGCCGGAGGGAUCGAGAGCGCCUAGCGGCCGAGUUUUUGCCGCUCAGGUGGAGGAGCAACAACCUACAGCACCCGACGACGUCGUGGCAGGUAUAAUUGUGAUUAAAG
Molecule: long non-coding RNA, 244 nt
Filed under: Ananas comosus (pineapple)
Lineage: Eukaryota; Viridiplantae; Streptophyta; Magnoliopsida; Poales; Bromeliaceae
Description: long non-coding RNA (ACOM_LNC040093)
Source: RNAcentral